Molecule: long non-coding RNA, 204 nt
Filed under: Manihot esculenta (cassava)
Lineage: Eukaryota; Viridiplantae; Streptophyta; Magnoliopsida; Malpighiales; Euphorbiaceae
Description: long non-coding RNA (MESC_LNC003767)
Source: RNAcentral
GGUAAUACAUCUAAAUAAAAGAGGCUCAAGGGGCCCGUUACCCAAAGAAAGGGUGGCCAUCAACAAUCAAGCAUCUCACUCUUUAAAGGAAGCUUAAAUUAUACAUCCGCUUUCGACAUCAUGAACUAUACCCUUAGACUUCAAAUGCAAUUACAGUCUGUUGUUGUCUUAUAAAUAUUAGUCAUUUGUUGUCACCAUCUUCUU